GACGAACGCUGGCGGCGUGCUUAACACAUGCAAGUCGAGCGGAAAGGCCACUUCGGUGGUACUCGAGCGGCGAACGGGUGAGUAACACGUGAGUAAUCUGCCCCUGGCUUUGGGAUAGCCACCGGAAACGGUGAUUAAUACCGGAUACGACCACUUCUCGCAUGGGAUGGUGGUGGAAAGUUUUUUCGGCCAGGGAUGUGCUCGCGGCCUAUCAGCUUGAUGGUGAGGUAAUGGCUCACCAUGGCUUCGACGGGUAGCCGGCCUGAGAGGGUGACCGGGAACACUGGGACUGAGAAAGGGGCCAGACUCCUACGGGAGGCAGAAGUGAGGAAGAUUGGACGAUGGGCGGAAGCCUGAGCCAGCAACGCCGCGGGAGGGAGGACGGCCUUCGGGUUGUAAACCUCUUUCAGCAGGGACGAAGCGCAAGCGACGGUACCUGCAGAAGAAGCACCGGCCAACUACGUGCCAGCCGCCGCAGUAA
This 481-nucleotide ribosomal RNA is filed under the name uncultured bacterium. RNAcentral describes it as "partial 16S ribosomal RNA". It matches the Rfam family "Bacterial small subunit ribosomal RNA", at positions 28 to 523 of the family's 1533-position model. The record is from RNAcentral.